This 948-nucleotide ribosomal RNA is filed under the name uncultured fungus. RNAcentral describes it as "bacterial SSU rRNA". It matches the Rfam family "Eukaryotic small subunit ribosomal RNA", at positions 690 to 1427 of the family's 1831-position model. The record is from RNAcentral. Lineage: Eukaryota; Fungi.
CUUUUUUAUCGGGGGGGAAAGAAUUGGAUUUUUUGCGGUUGCUAAUUCGACAAAUGGGCAUGCAGCCGCGGAAGAAAAGGAGGACAAGGGCGAAUAUUAAAGUGUUGUGGUGAGAAGAAGGGGCACACAAACCUUGGUCCCGGGGGGCCAGCCCGCCUCACCGCGUGCACUGGUCCGGCCGGGGCUUUCCCUCUCGGGGGCCCCAUACCCUUCACUGGGGGUGGCGGGGGAAGCAGGACAUUUACUUUGAAAAUAUUAGAGUGCUCCAGGCAGGCCUAUGCUCGAAUACAUUAGCAUGGAAUAACAAAAUAGGACGCGCGGUGCUAUUUUGUUGGUUAUAGGACCGCCGUAAUGAUUAAUAGGGACAGUCGGUGGCAUCAGUAUUCAACUGUCAGAGGUGAAAUUCUUGGAUCAGUUGAAGACUAACUACUGCGAAAGCACUUUGCCAGGGAUGCUUUCAUUAAUCAGGAACGGAAGUCAUGGGAUCGAAGACGAUCAGAAACCGGCGUAUCUUAACCAUGAACGAUGGCGAGUAGGGGAUCGGUACGUUGUAUUUUGGAACGGUCCGGCCCCCUGGCGAAGAAAUCAAAAGGCUUGGGCUCCAGGGGGGAGUAUGUCCGCAAGGGUUGAAACCUAAACCAAAUGGCGGAAGGGCACGACCAGGGGUGGAAGCCUUGUGGUUAAUUUUGACUCACCACGGGGAAACUUCCCCAAGGUCCAGGACACAAUAAGGGAUUGAUCAGAUUGAGAGCUCCUUUCUUUGAUUUUUUCGGGUGGUGGGGCAUUGGCCGGUCCUAAUGUUUGGUGGGCGCCGACUUGGCCUGCUUAAAUCGCAGAAUAACGAACGAAGAAACUUUUAACCAUGGCCAAAUAAUAGCCGCGCCAUUGUGAUCCCGUCAGGUGCUCGCUUGCUUCUUUAAAAAGGGGCCACUUUCGGAGCUUCAAGGC